This is a long non-coding RNA of Paramisgurnus dabryanus, 383 nucleotides long. RefSeq lists it as uncharacterized. The record is from RefSeq and is a predicted model, not a curated record. Lineage: Eukaryota; Metazoa; Chordata; Actinopteri; Cypriniformes; Cobitidae.
GACUGGAGACGUUUCCAGCAGAUAUUGUAUGACCAGGGGAUGAAAUUAAGCUGGAUCUACACUAUGAGCUUCCUGAUUCUCGUCCACUUUCUACUAAUUCCUGUCAUUACUCAGUUGUUUACUAUAGAGAUGAGUAAUAUUUCUGAGGAGAUGCAGAAAGUGAUGAAGGACACCCAAAGAAAGAAGCUUCAAGACUUUCAGGAGCACCUUGAUCAAGAGACAAUGAUUAUAGAGCUGCUUCAGGAACAGAGGGACAGAGACUUGGAAAGAGCUAUGAAGCAGAUUGAACAGACUUUAAGUCAUGAUAAAACUACAGUGACGGAAAGCCAAUGCAGUAGUGCAUCUUUCAUCAGAGCACAUCUGACAGUGCAAACAAACCAUGA